RNAcentral lists this unclassified non-coding RNA (88 nucleotides) under Pseudomonas marginalis. The record is from RNAcentral. Lineage: Bacteria; Pseudomonadati; Pseudomonadota; Gammaproteobacteria; Pseudomonadales; Pseudomonadaceae.
GUGGGAGGGGGCUUGCCCCCGAUGGCGGUGGCUCAGUCAAAAUAUUUAGUGACUGACACUCUGCUAUCGGGGGCAAGCCCCCUCCCAC